GGACUACGGGGGUAUCUAAUCCCUUUCGCGACCCUGGCCUUCAUCCCUUACUGUCAGAACUGUCCUCGUAAGAUGCCUUCGCUCUUGUUAGUCUGUCCGAGAUUAACACAUUUUACCGCUACUUCGAACAUACUUCUUACGUCUUCCAGUCUCUAGCUAUUGUAGUAUUCUUUGCUCGCCCCGCCCUUGAGAAACGGGAUUUCACAGAGAACUUGCAAAGCAAGCUACGGAUGUUUUAGACCCAAUAAAAAUGGCUGCGACUUGGACCGCGAGUAUUACCGCGGCGGCUGGCACUCGUCUUACCCAGUCCUUAUUCGUAAAACUUUUUACAUUUCACAAAAGCUUUCCAUUUGGAAAGCACUCCAGUUCAAACUGUCACGCUUGCGCGUAUUGCAGAUGAUUCCCGGCUGCUGCACCCCGUAGG
This 424-nucleotide ribosomal RNA is filed under the name uncultured organism. RNAcentral describes it as "partial 16S ribosomal RNA". The record is from RNAcentral.